This 480-nucleotide unclassified non-coding RNA is filed under the name Fusarium solani. Its description in RNAcentral is "sequence contains ITS2, 28S rRNA gene". It matches the Rfam family "Eukaryotic large subunit ribosomal RNA", at positions 67 to 558 of the family's 3401-position model. The record is from RNAcentral. Lineage: Eukaryota; Fungi; Ascomycota; Sordariomycetes; Hypocreales; Nectriaceae.
AACAGGGAUUGCCCCAGUAACGGCGAGUGAAGCGGCAACAGCUCAAAUUUGAAAUCUGGCUCUCGGGCCCGAGUUGUAAUUUGUAGAGGAUGCUUUUGGUGAGGUGCCUUCCGAGUUCCCUGGAACGGGACGCCAUAGAGGGUGAGAGCCCCGUCUGGUUGGACGCCGAACCUCUGUAAAGCUCCUUCGACGAGUCGAGUAGUUUGGGAAUGCUGCUCUAAAUGGGAGGUAUAUGUCUUCUAAAGCUAAAUACCGGCCAGAGACCGAUAGCGCACAAGUAGAGUGAUCGAAAGAUGAAAAGAACUUUGAAAAGAGAGUUAAACAGUACGUGAAAUUGUUGAAAGGGAAGCGCUUGUGACCAGACUUGGGCUUGGUUGAUCAUCCGGGGUUCUCCCCGGUGCACUCUUCCGGCUCAGGCCAGCAUCAGUUCGCCCUGGGGGAUAAAGGCAUCGGGAACGUGGCUCUCUCCGGGGAGUGUUA